AGGAUGAACGCUGGCGGCGUGCCUAAGACAUGCAAGUCGAGUGGGUUUAGACCCACGGCGAACGGGUGAGUAAUACCUAGGAAUGUCCUUUAAGUUGAGCAUAUCCCGCCGAAAGGCGGAGCAAUUCUCGAUGUGAUCGCAAGAUUAAAGUCGCAAGACGCUUAAAGCGCAGCCUGGGCACCAUCAGCUAGUUGGUAAGGUAAUGGCUUACCAAGGCUAUGACGGUUAGGGGCCCCGAGAGGGGAGACCUCCACACUGGAACUGCGACACGGUCCAGACUCCUACGGGAGGCAGCAGUUUGGAAUUUUGGACAAUGGGCGAAAGCCUGAUCCAGCGACGCCGCGUGGACGACGAAGGCCUUCGGGUCGUAAAGUCCUUUUGCUCGGGAACAAUUUUGAGCGUACGAGAGAAUAAGAGGUUGCUAACUCUGCGCCAGCAGCCGC
This 443-nucleotide ribosomal RNA is filed under the name uncultured bacterium. RNAcentral describes it as "SSU rRNA". It matches the Rfam family "Bacterial small subunit ribosomal RNA", at positions 26 to 518 of the family's 1533-position model. The record is from RNAcentral.